GAUGAACGCUGGCGGCGUGCCUAAUACAUGCAAGUCGAGCGAACAGACGAGGAGCUUGCUCCUCUGACGUUAGCGGCGGACGGGUGAGUAACACGUGGAUAACCUACCUAUAAGACUGGGAUAACUUCGGGAAACCGGAGCUAAUACCGGAUAACAUGUUGAACCGCAUGGUUCAACAGUGAAAGACGGUCUUGCUGUCACUUAUAGAUGGAUCCGCGCCGCAUUAGCUAGUUGGUAAGGUAACGGCUUACCAAGGCAACGAUGCGUAGCCGACCUGAGAGGGGGAUCGGCCAAACUGAACUGAGACACGGUCCAGACUCCUACGGGAGGCAGCAGUAGGGAAUCUUCCGCAAUGGGCGAAAGCCUGACGGAGCAACGCCGCGUGAGUGAAGAAGGUCUUCGGAUCGUAAAACUCUGUUAUUAGGGAAGAACAAAUGUGUAAGUAACUAUGCACGUCUUGACGGUACCUAAUCAGAAAGCCACGGCUAACUACGUG
This 496-nucleotide ribosomal RNA is filed under the name uncultured bacterium. Its description in RNAcentral is "partial 16S ribosomal RNA". It matches the Rfam family "Bacterial small subunit ribosomal RNA", at positions 28 to 507 of the family's 1533-position model. The record is from RNAcentral.